UGCUGGAGGUAUCAGAAGUGCGAAUGCUGACAUAAGUAACGAUAAAGCGGGUGAAAACCCCGCUCGCCGGAAGACCAAGGGUUCCUGUCCAACGUUAAUCGGGGCAGGGUGAGUCGACCCCUAAGGCGAGGCCGAAAGGCGUAGUCGAUGGGAAACGGGUUAAUAUUCCCGUACUUGGUGUUACUGCGAAGGGGGGACGAAGAAGGCUAGGCCGGCCGGGUGACGGUUAUCCCGGUUUAAGCGUGCAGGUGGGUGGUUUUGGAAAAUCCGGACCGCCUUAACACUGAGGCGUGAUGACGAGGCGCUACGGCGCUGAAGUGGUUGAUGCCCUGCUUCCAGGAAAAGCCUCUAAGCUCCAGGUAACAUCAAAUCGUACCCCAAACCGACACAGGUGGUCAGGUAGAGAAUACCAAGGCGCUUGAGAGAACUCGGGUGAAGGAACUAGGCAAAAUGGUGCCGUAACUUCGGGAGAAGGCACGCUGACAUGUAGGUGAAGUGAUUUACUCAUGGAGCUGAAGUCAGUCGAAGAUACCAGCUGGCUGCAACUGUUUAUUAAAAACACAGCACUGUGCAAACACGAAAGUGGACGUAUACGGUGUGACGCCUGCCCGGUGCCGGAAGGUUAAUUGAUGGGGUCAGCGCAAGCGAAGCUCCUGAUCGAAGCCCCGGUAAACGGCGGCCGUAACUAUAACGGUCCUAAGGUAGCGAAAUUCCUUGUCGGGUAAGUUCCGACCUGCACGAAUGGCGUAAUGAUGGCCAGGCUGUCUCCACCCGAGACUCAGUGAAAUUGAACUCGCUGUGAAGAUGCAGUGUACCCGCGGCAAGACGGAAAGACCCCGUGAACCUUUACUAUAGCUUGACACUGAACAUUGAGCCUUGAUGUGUAGGAUAGGUGGGAGGCUUUGAAGCGUGGACGCCAGUCUGCGUGGAGCCGACCUUGAAAUACCACCCUUUAAUGUUUGAUGUUCUAACGUGGACCCGUGAUCCGGGUUGCGGACAGUGUCUGGUGGGUAGUUUGACUGGGGCGGUCUCCUCCUAAAGAGUAACGGAGGAGCACGAAGGUUGGCUAAUCCUGGUCGGACAUCAGGAGGUUAGUGCAAUGGCAUAAGCCAGCUUGACUGCGAGCGUGACGGCGCGAGCAGGUGCGAAAGCAGGUCAUAGUGAUCCGGUGGUUCUGAAUGGAAGGGCCAUCGCUCAACGGAUAAAAGGUACUCCGGGGAUAACAGGCUGAUACCGCCCAAGAGUUCAUAUCGACGGCGGUGUUUGGCACCUCGAUGUCGGCUCAUCACAUCCUGGGGCUGAAGUAGGUCCCAAGGGUAUGGCUGUUCGCCAUUUAAAGUGGUACGCGAGCUGGGUUUAGAACGUCGUGAGACAGUUCGGUCCCUAUCUGCCGUGGGCGCUGGAGAACUGAGGGGGGCUGCUCCUAGUACGAGAGGACCGGAGUGGACGCAUCACUGGUGUUCGGGUUGUCAUGCCAAUGGCACUGCCCGGUAGCUAAAUGCGGAAGAGAUAAGUGCUGAAAGCAUCUAAGCACGAAACUUGCCCCGAGAUGAGUUCUCCCUGAGACUUAGAGUCUCCUGAAGGAACGUUGAAGACGACGACGUUGAUAGGCCGGGUGUGUAAGCGCAGCGAUGCGUUGAGCUAACCGGUACUAAUGAACCGUGAGGCUUAACCUUACAACGCCGAAG
RNAcentral lists this ribosomal RNA (1688 nucleotides) under Salmonella enterica subsp. enterica serovar Kiambu. RNAcentral describes it as "bacterial LSU rRNA". It matches the Rfam family "Bacterial large subunit ribosomal RNA", at positions 1271 to 2925 of the family's 2925-position model. The record is from RNAcentral. Lineage: Bacteria; Pseudomonadati; Pseudomonadota; Gammaproteobacteria; Enterobacterales; Enterobacteriaceae.